UACGUAGGGUGCAAGCGUUGUCCGGAAUUAUUGGGCGUAAAGAGCUCGUAGGCGGUCUGUCGCGUCGGCUGUGAAAACCCGAGGCUCAACCUCGGGCCUGCAGUCGAUACGGGCAAACUAGAGUACUGCAGGGGAGACUGGAAUUCCUGGUGUAGCGGUGAAAUGCGCAGAUAUCAGGAGGAACACCGGUGGCGAAGGCGGGGUCUCUGGGCAGUAACUGACGCUGGAGGAGCGAAAGCGUGGGGAGCGAACAGG
This 255-nucleotide ribosomal RNA is filed under the name uncultured bacterium. RNAcentral's name for it is "partial 16S ribosomal RNA". It matches the Rfam family "Bacterial small subunit ribosomal RNA", at positions 524 to 776 of the family's 1533-position model. The record is from RNAcentral.